GGCAUGGUGGUGCAGUGGGUAGCACUCUGACCUCACAGCAAGAAGGUCUUGGGUUUAAAUCCCAGCCCGAGCCU
Molecule: transfer RNA, 74 nt
Filed under: Anguilla anguilla (European eel)
Lineage: Eukaryota; Metazoa; Chordata; Actinopteri; Anguilliformes; Anguillidae
Description: tRNA-OTHER
Source: RNAcentral